CACUCCACGCCUCUGUCCACAUUUUGGGCUUGUAAGGUCUGUUUGGCAAAAAUGAAUCACAAUAGAAUCCAUUGCAUGCAUUUAUAUGUUGUGAAGAUGAAACAAGAAACAACUUACACUUUGCAUAUUGAGUCCAAUUUGUAGCUUAUUGACGUAGAACCUCUCACAGUGACUUUUAAUCAAUAGAGAUGAUGACAACAUGAAAAUCAAUUGAACAAAAAGGAAACUGAUGUUAGAUCUGAUGUGUUGCAGGGGGCCUUCUCUCUGUCCUGUUUAUUGCAACCACCAUUUAAAGCUAAUAAAAAAACAUCGGAUAAAUGACAGCAUAGGUGGAACAAGAAAUCACUUUGCAUAGAUAAAUGGUGUUCAACUGAAGUAGCUGUGGCCUGUGAUUCUACAUGCAUAAACACAAGAUAUAGCUGACGUGGAAGCUCAUGGUUACCAGUAAGAUGCGCAUACUGCCUUGGAUUACAGCUUUUUUACAGGCCUCUAGAGCAGCCUGCGAAGAGUUUUCCCCUUUUAAACCCUCCUUUGCGUAGAUUGGAAUUUUGUAAGAGGAUCUGCCAGUACAAUAGACUAUGAAUAAUUUCCAAUCAUUUUUCUUAAAAGUAAAUAAGAAUUCAAAUUGUUAAGAUAAAAAAAGAUCCUAUAGAAAUGUUUUAAUUGAUAAAAUCAUGUAGUUAAAGAGAAGAUCCCAUAAAAAUGUUCUAGAUUUGAGCAGAUGGCACAAUAAAAGGGAAACCAAUCAAGUGGUUCAGAAUUCUGAAAUCAAGUCUUCGAUAAUUUAUUCAAUAAUUCUCAUCCACUACAAACUUAUCUAUAUCAAACAAUGUAAGCUUUGAACCAGAUAAUUAUCAUUGUAAUAAUUUUUUAUUCUUUUUGCUUAUCACUUGGGGGGCAACCAACCAGUGUAAUAAUUUAAACACAAUAAGUAAAACUAACCGGAGAUAUCAAGUAGAAGAUGAGAAAAUGUGUUAGCAACCUACUGCUUUACAGUGAUUCGGGCAGCCUGAAAUUAUACAGGGUUUAUCAGAUAUCUUCUCCUAAUACGAGUACAGAGCACUACAAGAUUAUAUUUUGAAUGCGAGACAGAAUACAAAUGCAGGGUGAUACCCAUCUCAAAUACAAUUGAAAAAAAUGACAAGAAAGACCUCCAAAGCAAAAUCAGAAGGGUCCUGUACUUCUCAGAAAUACACAAUUGGUUCGACUAGCGGAUACCAACUAGAAAUACACAAUUUGCUAUAAUACAUAACAGCUCUACAGUUAAUCAUUCAUAUAACAAUUGGUUUCGAUAAAACAAAAAAUUAAUCAACAAUCUCAUAAUUAUUCAAAUGUAUAUGAAAUUGAGGCUGAUUAUACAGCACACAAGCAACAAUUAUGAAAUUACUGAAACAUAAAAAUUACGUUUUACAAAAUAAAAUCUAAAUUGAUCAAAAGUUACCUGAAUUGAAGAGGAUCCGAGGAUUGGAUUGGAGUGAAGAGGGGAAAGAGAUGUAUUUGAGAUCUGUAUUCGAAAUCGCCAGUAGGAUACAGAGGAGAGUUUGGUUUAGAGGAUUCGCUCGAAAUCGGAAUCGCCAAUGGGUUUGGUUUUCGCAGCAGGAGAGAGGCUUUACAGAUUAUCAUAACAGAGGAUGAGGGAGGCUUUACAGAUUAUCGCAGCAGAGGAUGGAGGUUUCGCUCGAAGAAGAAAUCGCAUCAGGGUUUGGUAUCGCAGCAGAGGAUGAGGGAGAUUAUCGCAUCAUCUUCGCAUCAGGGUUUGGUAUCCCAGCAGAGGAUGAGGAAGAUUAUCGCAGCAUUUGGUUUGGUAUCGCAGAAGAGGACGAGGGAGAUUAUCGCAGCAUCUUCUUCGUAUCAAAGAAGAAAUCGCAUGGGGGAAGAAAUCGCUCGCAGAAGAGUCGUACGCUAGUUGAACCGGCGGAUGCAUAGUGGAUAAUUUGCUCUGAAAAUUAUUUUUAAUGCAUUUUUUAAUGCAUCCGCUAGUUGAAUUAGAGGACGUCGCUAUUCC
RNAcentral lists this long non-coding RNA (2005 nucleotides) under Panax ginseng (ginseng). Its description in RNAcentral is "long non-coding RNA (PGIN_LNC015919)". The record is from RNAcentral. Lineage: Eukaryota; Viridiplantae; Streptophyta; Magnoliopsida; Apiales; Araliaceae.